Molecule: ribosomal RNA, 402 nt
Filed under: uncultured bacterium
Lineage: Bacteria
Description: bacterial SSU rRNA
Rfam family: Bacterial small subunit ribosomal RNA
Source: RNAcentral
UGGGGAAUAUUGGACAAUGGGCGCAAGCCUGAUCCAGCCAUGCCGCGUGAGUGAUGAAGGCCCUAGGGUUGUAAAGCUCUUUCGCACGCGACGAUAAUGACGGUAGCGUGAGAAGAAGCCCCGGCUAACUUCGUGCCAGCAGCCGCGGUAAUACGAAGGGGGCUAGCGUUGUUCGGAAUCACUGGGCGUAAAGGGCGCGUAGGCGGCUGUUCAAGUCGGGGGUGAAAUCCCGUGGCUCAACCACGGAAUGGCCUUCGAUACUGGACGGCUCGAGACCGGAAGAGGUGAGUGGAACUGCGAGUGUAGAGGUGAAAUUCGUAGAUAUUCGCAAGAACACCAGUGGCGAAGGCGGCUCACUGGUCCGGUUCUGACGCUGAGGCGCGAAAGCGUGGGGAGCAAACA